Molecule: ribosomal RNA, 735 nt
Filed under: uncultured Peptostreptococcus sp.
Lineage: Bacteria; Bacillati; Bacillota; Clostridia; Peptostreptococcales; Peptostreptococcaceae
Description: bacterial SSU rRNA
Rfam family: Bacterial small subunit ribosomal RNA
Source: RNAcentral
CUUCGGAGAAGAGCGGCGGACGGGUGAGUAACGCGUGGGUAACCUGCCCUGUACACACGGAUAACAUACCGAAAGGUAUGCUAAUACGGGAUAACAUAAGAAAUUCGCAUGUUUUUCUUAUCAAAGCUCCGGCGGUACAGGAUGGACCCGCGUCUGAUUAGCUAGUUGGUGAGGUAACGGCUCACCAAGGCGACGAUCAGUAGCCGACCUGAGAGGGUGAUCGGCCACAUUGGAACUGAGACACGGUCCAAACUCCUACGGGAGGCAGCAGUGGGGAAUACUGCACAAUGGGCGAAAGCCUGAUGCAGCAACGCCGCGUGAGCGAUGAAGGCCUUCGGGUCGUAAAGCUCUGUCCUCAAGGAAGAUAAUGACGGUACUUGAGGAGGAAGCCCCGGCUAACUACGUGCCAGCAGCCGCGGUAAUACGUAGGGGGCUAGCGUUAUCCGGAUUUACUGGGCGUAAAGGGUGCGUAGGCGGUCUUUUAAGUCAGGAGUGAAAGGCUACGGCUCAACCGUAGUAAGCUCUUGAAACUGGAGGACUUGAGUGCAGGAGAGGAGAGUGGAAUUCCUAGUGUAGCGGUGAAAUGCGUAGAUAUUAGGAGGAACACCAGUAGCGAAGGCGGCUCUCUGGACUGUAACUGACGCUGAGGCACGAAAGCGUGGGGAGCAAACAGGAUUAGAUACCCUGGUAGUCCACGCCGUAAACGAUGAGUACUAGGUGUCGGGGGUUACCCCC